This 30-nucleotide non-coding RNA is filed under the name Mus musculus (house mouse). The record is from RNAcentral. Lineage: Eukaryota; Metazoa; Chordata; Mammalia; Rodentia; Muridae.
UGCAAAACGCCUCAAGCUCCUUUACUAAUC